AGGGAGCCUGGACAGCUACUAAUAAUACAGAUAGACAGUAGCACAUUUCUUGGGCUCGAGAGCGGGCUGAAAGUGUCCCGCUAGUCCUCCCGCUGUUGGAGGGCAACACCGUCAAAUUGCGGGGAGGCCCUAAAGCUUUGACUACCAAGCCGGCGUGGAAACACAGUCGGUGGCCAGGGUAACGACCUCGGGUAUGGUAAAAACGUCAAAGAUGCACCAAUGGGUUAUCCGCAGCCAAGUCCUAAGGGCAACUCUUUGCCUAUGGAUGCAGUCCACAGACUAGAUGGCGGUGGGUCGGGGGGCGGUGUCCCCCGGCUUGAGAUAUAGUCGGCCCCACCGAGAGGUGGUCUGAGGGAGGAGCYGCGCGCUGUCGCGGUGAGAGCCCUCAGAGUGCUUGGCAUGCGAGUACUUUCGGUCGUGAGGCCGAAAGGGCAGCRUCGUCCCCCGGCGCCGCCUCCGAGCACGGAUUACGCGGAGAAACGGCUACCACAUCCAAGGAAGGCAGCAGGCGCGCA
This 515-nucleotide non-coding RNA is filed under the name Chlorella sorokiniana. The record is from RNAcentral. Lineage: Eukaryota; Viridiplantae; Chlorophyta; Trebouxiophyceae; Chlorellales; Chlorellaceae.